GGGAGAGUGAGAGGCGUGCAUGGCUUACCGAAAGGGUGUGCGGCAAAUCUGGGUGGUUGAGCUGUGGUGGAGGAUGAAGGCCAACACUUUCUGAGCUCUCUAGUGGUGUUUCGACUUCCCUAUGGUGAUCUCUGCAACCAUGUACUCUAGAUGAUUUCUGAAAGGAGGCUACGAUGGUUUUACUGAGGGAGUAGUUUUUGUGUUUUUGAUUGUGUAUAACUCUUGGGCUAUGGUUUUCCUUGUGGCUGGGUGUGAAAAAAAAAAACAGUUCUUUUGGAGGCAGUCGGCCCACACGAACAGUGUGCAGUUGGCUGACUGACGUGGCAGCAGUUAUAUUAAAGAAAGAAAAGAAAAGGGAGAGAAGAAGAAGUAGAAGAGGAAAGAGGAAGUGCGGGAAAGAGAAAUUGAAACGUGGGUUUUGGCACAGACGAAAUACCGAAGCAUUCGUGUGGCCUGAGACUUGUUCUUCAGAUAGAGAUUCAAAGCUUGUUCACAUUGUGCUUUAGCUUCAUGUGUUUCUGUGUGGUCAUCUUCUUCGUGUGUUCUUCACAUUGUGCUUUGAAACUAAGUGGAGAAAACUGGAUCUGGAAGUCGUCUUUGUCUUCGGCGUCGUUUGUUUUCAGACUGGGUCGAUCUGUCCUUGUCAAAACAGUUGGUGCAAACUAGUUUACAGAGGUGUAGGAAGAGCUGCAUAUUAAGGUGGCUGAAUAUCUGAACCCUACUGUUAAAUGUGAAUGUUUCUCUGAGGAAGAAGAUGAUCUAAUCAUCAGACUCCAUAAUCUUCUGGAGAACAGGCUUUGGAUUUUUGAUUGCUGGAGAAAUCAAGAAAGGCAUCCAUUGAGCACCUUGAGAAAUUACAUUUCAUCUCUCAAGGAGGCAGCCUUUUGUUUCAACUUGCGAAUCUAUCUGAAUCAUACCUCAACUGUUGUAACUAGAAUGGAAUUUAGGUGAAGUCUUGUAUUACAUUGGAAAAUGAUCAGAUCUACUAUUCAUAUGUAAUGGGUUCUCUGAUACUGCUUAUUUAUAAUCGUACAUGGAGAUCAUGUAACUACUACCUCAAGUGGAUCUUCAACUAAUGACAAUGGGGUUGAGCCAAUUGUAAUGGUGUUAAGCCUUUUUGUAAUGAUGAUGCUUCAGCAGACUCAGCAUCUGUUUAGUUUUAUGGAUGUGAUGAAUGUGGAUGUGUUAUUUCUGUAAGCUACCUGAUGCAUUUGGUAAAUAAGUUCAUGAUCGUUUUUCAGUGCACAA
Molecule: long non-coding RNA, 1248 nt
Organism: Carya illinoinensis
Lineage: Eukaryota; Viridiplantae; Streptophyta; Magnoliopsida; Fagales; Juglandaceae
Exons: 3
Source: RefSeq, a predicted model, not a curated record